ACGGAGGGGGCUAGCGUUGUUCGGAAUUACUGGGCGUAAAGAGCUCGUAGGCGGGAGCGCGCGUCUGGGAGGAAAUCUCACGGCUCAACUGUGAGGCUUUCCCAGAUACGGCGCUUCUUGAGGGCAGGAGAGGUAACUGGAAUUCCCGGUGUAGCGGUGAAAUGCGUAGAUAUCAAGAGGAACACCAGUGGCGAAGGCGAGUCCCUGGACAAUACCUGACACUGAGGCACGAAAGCCAAGGGAGCAAACAGGA
RNAcentral lists this ribosomal RNA (253 nucleotides) under uncultured prokaryote. Its description in RNAcentral is "partial 16S ribosomal RNA". It matches the Rfam family "Bacterial small subunit ribosomal RNA", at positions 525 to 777 of the family's 1533-position model. The record is from RNAcentral.